GACGAACGCUGGCGGCGUGCCUAAUACAUGCAAGUCGAGCGGACUGAUUAAGAGCUUGCUCUUAUGACGUUAGCGGCGGACGGGUGAGUAACACGUGGGCAACCUGCCCUGUAGAUCGGGAUAACACCGAGAAAUCGGUGCUAAUACCGGGUAAUAUCUGAGAUCACAUGAUCUUAGGUUAAAAGAUGGCUCCGGCUAUCACUACAGGAUGGGCCCGCGGCGCAUUAGCUAGUUGGUAAGGUAAUGGCUUACCAAGGCGACGAUGCGUAGCCGACCUGGGAGGGUGAUCGGCUACACUGGGACUGAGACACGGCCCAGACUCCUACGGGAGGCAGCAGUAGGGAAUCUUCCGCAAUGGACGAAAGUCUGACGGAGCAACGCCGCGUGAGUGAUGAAGGGUUUCGGCCCGUAAAGCUCUGUUGUUAGGGAAGAAACAGUACCGAACGAACUAGGUCGGUACCUUGACGGUACCUAACCAGAAAGCCACGGCUAACUACGUG
RNAcentral lists this ribosomal RNA (500 nucleotides) under uncultured bacterium. Its description in RNAcentral is "partial 16S ribosomal RNA". It matches the Rfam family "Bacterial small subunit ribosomal RNA", at positions 28 to 507 of the family's 1533-position model. The record is from RNAcentral.